GCCCUGGGCUUGUGCUCGGGGAGUCAGUGGUGGAUUCUGACCCCCAUGCACCCCUGCAGGUCCCUGGAAUCACUGGCCUCAUCCUUCACCCCUGCCAGCCACACUUGCCCUGUGCCU
Molecule: microRNA precursor, 117 nt
Filed under: Papio anubis (olive baboon)
Lineage: Eukaryota; Metazoa; Chordata; Mammalia; Primates; Cercopithecidae
Also listed under: 2 other names
Description: mir-1257 microRNA precursor family
Rfam family: mir-1257 microRNA precursor family
Source: Rfam by way of RNAcentral